Molecule: ribosomal RNA, 2905 nt
Filed under: Clostridium perfringens
Lineage: Bacteria; Bacillati; Bacillota; Clostridia; Eubacteriales; Clostridiaceae
Description: bacterial LSU rRNA
Rfam family: Bacterial large subunit ribosomal RNA
Source: RNAcentral
GGUCAAGCUACAAAGGGCGCAUGGUGAAUGCCUUGGCAUCAGGAGCCGAUGAAGGACGUGAUAAGCUGCGAUAAGCUUCGGGUAGGCGCACAUAGCCUGAGAUCCGAAGAUCUCCGAAUGAGGAAACUCACAUGGGAAACCCCAUGUAUCAUUAAGUGAAUACAUAGCUUAAUGAAGGUAACCCAGGGAACUGAAACAUCUAAGUACCUGGAGGAAGAGAAAGAAAAAUCGAUUUUCUUAGUAGCGGCGAGCGAAAGGGAAAGAGCCCAAACCGGAAACUUGUUUCCGGGGUUGUGGACAUGACAUAAAAGUGGAGGCUAUUGUAACUGAAGAGAACUGGAAAGUUCCACCGUAGAAGGUAAUAGUCCUGUAAGUGAAACGAGAAGACCACGAGUUAUGAUCCAGAGUACCACGAGACACGUGAAACCUUGUGGGAAGCAGGGAGGACCACCUCCCAAGGCUAAAUACUACCUGAUGACCGAUAGUGAAGCAGUACCGUGAGGGAAAGGUGAAAAGAACCCCGGGAGGGGAGUGAAAUAGAACCUGAAACCGUGUGCCUACAACCGCUCAGAGCCCCUUAUGAGGGUGAUGAGGUGCUUUUUGUAGAACGAGCCAACGAGUUACGGUAUGUAGCAAGGUUAAGUACUUAAGGUACGGAGCCGAAGGGAAACCGAGUCUGAAUAGGGCGACUAGUUGCAUGCCGUAGACCCGAAACCGGGUGACCUAUCCAUGGCCAGGUUGAAGCGAGGGUAAAACCUCGUGGAGGACCGAACCACGUUGCUGUUGAAAAAGCAUGGGAUGAGCUGUGGAUAGCGGAGAAAUUCCAAUCGAACCCGGAGAUAGCUGGUUCUCUCCGAAAUAGCUUUAGGGCUAGCGUCGAGUAUGAGUAGUGGAGGUAGAGCACUGAAUGGGCUAGGGGGCAUAGCGCUUACCGAACCUUAUCAAACUCCGAAUGCCACAUACUUUGAGCUCGGCAGUCAGACUACGAAUGAUAAGAUCCGUGGUCAAAAGGGAAACAGCCCAGAUCGUCAGCUAAGGUCCCAAAGUGUAAGUUAAGUGGGAAAGGAUGUGAGAUUUCUAAGACAACUAGGAUGUUGGCUUAGAAGCAGCCAUUCAUUAAAAGAGUGCGUAAUAGCUCACUAGUCGAGAGAUCUUGCGCCGAAAAUGUAACGGGGCUAAACUUACCACCGAAGCUACGGGCUUGAACUUAGUUCAAGCGGUAGGAGAGCGUCGUAACCGGGCUGAAGUCGUACCGUAAGGAGCGGUGGACUGGUUACGAGUGAGAAUGUUGGCAUCAGUAGCGAGAUGUGGGUGAGAAUCCCACAGGCCGAAAACCUAAGGUUUCCUCAGGAAGGUUCGUCCGCUGAGGGUUAGUCGGGACCUAAGCCGAGGCCGAAAGGCGUAGGUGAUGGACAACUGGUUGAUAUUCCAGUACCACUACCAUCGUUAUUAUCGAUGGCGUGACGCAGGAGGAUAGUGUGUGCUAGCUAUUGGAUGCUAGUCUAAGCGUUUAGGCAGUGAAAGUAGGCAAAUCCGCUUUCAUAAUGCUGAGGCGUGAUGGGGAAGGUUCUACGGAACCGAAGUACAUGAUUCCACGCUGCCAAGAAAAGCGUCUAGAGAGAGAAGUAGUGCCCGUACCGCAAACCGACACAGGUAGGUGAGGAGAGAAUCCUAAGGCCGGCGGAAGAAUUACAGUUAAGGAACUCGGCAAAUUGACCCCGUAAGUUCGCGAGAAGGGGUGCCUACGAGAGUAGGCCGCAGAGAAUAGGCCCAAGCAACUGUUUAGCAAAAACACAGGUCUCUGCUAAAGCGUAAGCUGAUGUAUAGGGGCUGACGCCUGCCCGGUGCUGGAAGGUUAAGGGGAACACUUAGCGCAAGCGAAGGUGUGAACUUAAGCCCCAGUAAACGGCGGCCGUAACUAUAACGGUCCUAAGGUAGCGAAAUUCCUUGUCAGGUAAGUUCUGACCCGCACGAAUGGCGUAAUGACUUGGGCACUGUCUCAACUGUAAAUCCGGCGAAGUUGUAGUGCGAGUGAAGAUGCUCGCUACCCGCGAUUGGACGGAAAGACCCCGUAGAGCUUUACUGUAGCUUAGCAUUGAGUUUUGGUAUUGUCUGUACAGGAUAGGUGGGAGACUAGGAAACCAGGGCGUCAGCCUUGGUGGAGUCAACCUUGGGAUACCACCCUGACAGUACUGAAAUUCUAACUGGCGGCCAUGAAUCUGGUCACAGGACAUUGUUAGGUGGGCAGUUUGACUGGGGCGGUCGCCUCCUAAAAAGUAACGGAGGCGCCCAAAGGUUCCCUCAGAACGGUCGGAAAUCGUUCGAAGAGUGCAAAGGCAGAAGGGAGCCUGACUGCGACACCCACAAGUGGAGCAGGGACGAAAGUCGGGCUUAGUGAUCCGGUGGUACCUCGUGGGAGGGCCAUCGCUCAACGGAUAAAAGCUACCUCGGGGAUAACAGGCUGAUCUCCCCCAAGAGUCCACAUCGACGGGGAGGUUUGGCACCUCGAUGUCGGCUCGUCGCAUCCUGGGGCUGAAGUAGGUCCCAAGGGUUGGGCUGUUCGCCCAUUAAAGCGGCACGCGAGCUGGGUUCAGAACGUCGUGAGACAGUUCGGUCCCUAUCCGUCGCGGGCGUAGGAAAUUUGAGAGGAGCUGUCCUUAGUACGAGAGGACCGGGAUGGACUGACCUCUGGUGUACCAGUUGUUCCGCCAGGAGCACAGCUGGGUAGCUAAGUCGGGAAUGGAUAAACGCUGAAAGCAUCUAAGCGUGAAGCCAACCUCAAGAUGAGAUUUCCCAUAGCAUAAGCUAGUAAGAUCCCUUGAAGAACACAAGGUUGAUAGGUCGGGGGUGUAAGCAUGGUAACAUGUUCAGCUGACCGAUACUAAUAGAUCGAGGGCUUGACCAA